GGUUGCUGCGGAGGGAUCAUUACCGAGUUUACAACUCCCAAACCCCUGUGAACAUACCACUUGUUGCCUCGGCGGAUCAGCCCGCUCCCGGUAAAACGGGACGGCCCGCCAGAGGACCCCUAAAACUCUGUUUCUAUAUGUAACUUCUGAGUAAAACCAUAAAUAAAUCAAAACUUUCAACAACGGAUCUCUUGGUUCUGGCAUCGAUGAAGAACGCAGCAAAAUGCGAUAAGUAAUGUGAAUUGCAGAAUUCAGUGAAUCAUCGAAUCUUUGAACGCACAUUGCGCCCGCCAGUAUUCUGGCGGGCAUGCCUGUUCGAGCGUCAUUUCAACCCUCAAGCACAGCUUGGUGUUGGGACUCGCGUUAAUUCGCGUUCCUCAAAUUGAUUGGCGGUCACGUCGAGCUUCCAUAGCGUAGUAGUAAAACCCUCGUUACUGGUAAUCGUCGCGGCCACGCCGUUAAACCCCAACUUCUGAAUGUGACCUCGAUCGAG
This 493-nucleotide ribosomal RNA is filed under the name Fusarium oxysporum. Its description in RNAcentral is "eukaryotic LSU rRNA". The stretch from base 172 to 325 matches the Rfam family "5.8S ribosomal RNA". Lineage: Eukaryota; Fungi; Ascomycota; Sordariomycetes; Hypocreales; Nectriaceae. The record is from RNAcentral.